Molecule: small RNA, 801 nt
Filed under: Pongo abelii (Sumatran orangutan)
Lineage: Eukaryota; Metazoa; Chordata; Mammalia; Primates; Hominidae
Description: processed transcript
Source: RNAcentral
GCUGCGGCCCCCAGACCUGGGGCAGCGUGUCCAGCUGUGGGAGCACUUCCAGAGCCUGCUGUGGACCUACAGCCGCCUGCGGGAGCAGGAGCAGUGCUUCGCCGUGGAGGUGACUACUGGGCGUGGGAGUCCUCAGGACUUGAAGCUGUCAGCCACAGUGCCAGCUCCCUGCGCCCGGCCGACCUGCUCGCCCUCAUCCUCCUGGUUCAGGACCUCUACCCUAGCGAGAGCACAGCAGAGGACGACAUUCAGGAGACAGACAGCUUCUCCCUCCCUGAGGAGUACUUCACACCAGCUCCUUCCCCUGGCGAUCAGAGCUCAGGUAGCAUCAUCUGGCUGGAGGGGGGCACCCCACCCAUGGAUGCCCUUCAGAGCCCCAGCGCGCCCCUGGCCCUGGUCCUGUCCCAGCUGAUGGAUGGCUUCUCCAUGCUGGAGAUGAAGCUGAAGGAAGGGCCGGAGGCCGGGGCCUCCCUGCGCUCCCAGCCCUUUGUGGGAGACCUGCGCCAGAGGAUGGACAAGUUUGUCAAGAAUCGAGGGGCACAAGAGAUUCAGAGCACCUGGCUGGAGUUUAAGGCCAAGGCUUUCUCCAAAAGUGAGCCCGGAUCCUCCUGGGAGCUGCUCCAGGCAUGUGGGAAGCUGAAGCGGCAGCUCUGCGCCAUCUACCGGCUGAACUUUCUGACCACAGCCCCCAGCAGGGGAGGCCCACACCUGCCCCAGCACCUGCAGGACCAAGUGCAGAGGCUCAUGAGGGAGAAGCUGACGGACUGGAAGGACUUCGUGCUGGUGAAGAGCAGGAGGAAC